This 411-nucleotide ribosomal RNA is filed under the name Dohrniphora oricilla. RNAcentral's name for it is "partial 16S ribosomal RNA". Lineage: Eukaryota; Metazoa; Arthropoda; Insecta; Diptera; Phoridae. The record is from RNAcentral.
GUUAUUNCUAACUGUGCAAAGGUAGCAUAAUCAUUAGUCUUUUUAUUGAAGGCUGGCAUGAAUGGUUGAAUGAAAUAUUAACUGUUUCAAUUUAAUUUAUUAUUGAAUUUUAUUUUUUAGUUAAAAAGCUAAAAUUAAUUUAAAAGACGAGAAGACCCUAUAAAUCUUUAUAAUUNAUAAUUAUUAUUAANUAUUUAGAUUAAUUAAUUUUUAAUAAUUUAAAUUAUUUUAUUGGGGUGAUAUUGAAAUUUAUUUAACUUUUAAUGUAUNUUUUACACUAAUUAGUGAAUUAUNUGAUCCAUAANNUAAUGAUUAAAAAUUUAAGUUACUUUAGGGAUAACAGCNGUAAUUUUUCUAGAGAGUUCGUAUUAAUAGAAAAGAUUGCGACCUCGAUGUUGGAUUAAGAUAUAA